This is a long non-coding RNA of Diospyros lotus (date-plum), 450 nucleotides long. RefSeq lists it as uncharacterized. The record is from RefSeq and is a predicted model, not a curated record. NCBI's taxonomy places the organism in Eukaryota, Viridiplantae, Streptophyta, Magnoliopsida, Ericales, Ebenaceae. The transcript has 2 exons.
UCUGCUAUAUAUAUGUGUGUGCGUGUGUGUGUAUAUUGUGUGAUAUACGCUUCUGGGCAACUCAAACUUGAGAGAGAGAGAGAGCCGCUAUAUAUUGAUUUGGCUGAUAAUUAAUGGCGUCGAUGAAGGCUGAAAAAGCUGCCGGCGGCGAGGGCAUGGGGCAGGCCAAGCCGACCAAGGCCAGUGGUGAAGCUGCUCCCAAGACUACUAGUUCUGCCUCUAAGACUAAGCCAGCCCCAAAGAAGGCUGCUGCCCCAAAGACUUCUGUCCCUAACCCUAAGAGGAAGGCAAAGAGCGGCAAAUCGGCGGCGAGGAACUGAGUGGAUGCGGAAGGACUUCCGGCCAGUCUCCAUUUUCUUCGCUUUUGGUGUUGUAUUUAGGCAGUACGUACCUUGUUUCCUCAUGGUUGUGAGAAAUAAAAUAUAAUUAUCAAACAAGAGUUUUACUAUA